AGAGUUGAUCCUGGCUCAGGAUUAACGCUGGCGGCGUGCCUAAUACAUGCAAGUCGAAUGGUAGCAAUACCAUGGCGAACGGGUGAGUAACACGUAGGUAACCUGUCUUUAAGACGAGGAUAACCGAUGGAAACGUCGGAUAAUACUCGAUAGGUGAUUUGAAGGCAUCUUUGGAUCAUUAAAGAUUUAUCACUUAGAGAGGGGCCUGCGGCGCAUUAGCUAGAUGGCGGUGUAAUGGACCACCAUGGCGAUGAUGCGUAGCCGGACUGAGAGGUUGAACGGCCACAAUGGAACUGAGAACGGUCCAUACUCCUACGGGAGGCAGCAGUAGGGAAUUUUCGGCAAUGGGCGAAAGCCUGAACCCGAGCAACGCCGCGUGAACGAAGAAGUAUUUCGGUAUGUAAAGUUCUUUUAUUAGGGAAGAAAAUAAUCAAAUUGACGGUACCUAAUGAAUAAGCUCCGGCUAACUACGUGCCAGCAGCCGC
Molecule: ribosomal RNA, 485 nt
Filed under: uncultured bacterium
Lineage: Bacteria
Description: bacterial SSU rRNA
Rfam family: Bacterial small subunit ribosomal RNA
Source: RNAcentral